RNAcentral lists this ribosomal RNA (253 nucleotides) under uncultured bacterium. Its description in RNAcentral is "partial 16S ribosomal RNA". It matches the Rfam family "Bacterial small subunit ribosomal RNA", at positions 524 to 776 of the family's 1533-position model. The record is from RNAcentral.
UACGUAGGUGGCAAGCGUUGUCCGGAUUUACUGGGCGUAAAGAGCGCGCAGGCGGUCGUAUAAGUCGAAUGUGAAAGCCCCCGGCUCAACUGGGGAGGGUCAUUCGAUACUGUUCGACUCGAAGGCAGGAGAGGGAAGUGGAAUUCCGGGUGUAGUGGUGAAAUGCGUAGAUAUCCGGAGGAACACCAGUGGCGAAGGCGGGUCUCUGGGCCGAUACUGACGCUGAGGAGCGAAAGCGUGGGGAGCGAACAGG